CCAUCGGCCUUUUUCAGGGCCAUUAAAUUGGUGGAAAAGAGUUAAA
Aedes aegypti (yellow fever mosquito) is the source of this 46-nucleotide non-coding RNA. The record is from Rfam. NCBI's taxonomy places the organism in Eukaryota, Metazoa, Arthropoda, Insecta, Diptera, Culicidae.